UACUGCUCAGUAACACGUGGAAACAUACCUGAGGCCGGCUAUAAACCCGGGAAACUGGGUAUACUCCCCGAUAGUCCUCGGCUGCUGGAAUGCACCGAGGACGAAAGCUCCGGCGCCUUAGGAUGGGUCUGCGGCCUAUCAGGUUGUAGUGGGUGUAACGUACCUACUAGCCUACGACGGGUACGGGUUGUGAGAGCAAGAGCCCGGAGAUGGAUUCUGAGACACGAAUCCAGGCCCUACGGGGUGCAGCAGGCGCGAAAACUUUACAAUGCUGGAAACAGCGAUAAGGGGACCUCGAGUGCCAGGUUACAAAUCUGGCUGUCGUGAUGCCUAAAAAGCAUUACAUAGCAAGGGCCGGGCAAGACCGGUGCCAGCCGCCGCGGUAACACCGGCGGGUCGAGUGGCAACCGUUAUUAUUGGGUCUAAGGGUUCUGUACCCGCCCUACUACGUCUCCUGCCACCCCCACUUCC
This 471-nucleotide ribosomal RNA is filed under the name uncultured Methanosaeta sp. Its description in RNAcentral is "bacterial SSU rRNA". It matches the Rfam family "Archaeal small subunit ribosomal RNA", at positions 84 to 558 of the family's 1478-position model. Lineage: Archaea; Methanobacteriati; Methanobacteriota; Methanomicrobia; Methanotrichales; Methanotrichaceae. The record is from RNAcentral.